AGGAUAAACGCUGGCGGCGUGCCUAACACAUGCAAGUCGAACGCGCUUUCGGGCUUCGGUGCGAGAGCGAGUGGCGGACGGGUGAGUAACACAUGGGUACCUACCUUGGAGUGAGGGAUACCGGCGAGAAAUCGCCGACAAUACCGCAUAGGCUUCUUCACAAGGGAAGCAAAGUGACGCGAGUCACGCUUUGAGAUGGGCCUGUGGCCGAUUAGCUAGUUGGGGGGGUAACGCUUCCCAAGGCGACGAUCGGUAGCUGGUCUGAGAGGACGAUCAGCCACACUGGGAUUGAGAACGGCCCAGACUCCUACGGGGGGCAGCAGUGAGGAAUUUUCCGCAAUGGAGGCAACUCUGACGGAGCAACGCCGCGUGCAGGAGGAAGGUUUUCGGAUCGUAAAACUGUCUUUUCUCGGGGACGAGCAAAGGGACGGUACCCGAGGAACGAAGCCCCGGACUAACUACGCGCCAGCAGCCGC
RNAcentral lists this ribosomal RNA (476 nucleotides) under uncultured bacterium. RNAcentral's name for it is "SSU rRNA". It matches the Rfam family "Bacterial small subunit ribosomal RNA", at positions 26 to 518 of the family's 1533-position model. The record is from RNAcentral.